This 27643-nucleotide long non-coding RNA is filed under the name Coffea arabica (coffee). Its description in RNAcentral is "long non-coding RNA (CARA_LNC007643)". The record is from RNAcentral. Lineage: Eukaryota; Viridiplantae; Streptophyta; Magnoliopsida; Gentianales; Rubiaceae.
UUUUUUUUUUUUUUUUUUAUAAUUCCCAUACUAACUAAGUAUUAGUAAUUAAUACUUAGGGUGUGUUUGGAUUGUAAUUUUUUUUUUUUUUUGAAAAUUGCUAUAUUUUUUAAUCAUCUUUUUGUGUUACAUAUAUCAAAAUGUUACAGUAAUUUUUCUACAAAAAAUUCAGAAAAAAUGCAAUUCAAACAAAGCCUUAGUAUUUUUCUACAAAAAGACUUUGAAAUCAACUCAAAAAAUUUCCUUAUGAUAUGGCACAGCAGGAGGACAGUUGACAUAUAGGGUUUUGUUUUGAUUGGCUCUUUUAAGUUUUCUAAUGGAGUGUAUUUCCAAACUCUUCAUUUCCUCAUAUUUUUGUGAAUAAAUAACCAAAAAGAGAAAAAAAAAUCAAUUCUUUUUUCCCUCCCAAAUUGUGCGGUUACUGUUUUUAUGGUACAAGUAGAACAUUUUGAUAAAAGUAAAACCAAACAGACUGACGAAUUGGUCCUGAAUAUCGUGGUAGUGAGUAGUUCUACUAAAUUCUUGACUUUUAACUGACUUUUGUUAUUACUGGGAUACGUCUUAAGGACUAUAAAUUACUGCACAUAACAUAACAUGCACAACUUUUAAACGUAGCAUAAAUAUUCGAAGAAAGAAAUAAAAAUGGGGAAGUUUCUUGUAGCGUAGGAGUUUCUUGCCAAGGAAAGUUAAAACACUACUAUAACUUGAGGGGGUCCAAUGCAAUUUACAGAACCCCAGUGGAAUUUCCAUAAUUAUGAGAAGUGUUCUUCUCUUCUUGGAAAGAAAAAAAAAAAAAUUUCAUACCACUAUUAGGCCUAGCUUGUAAAUUGGAAUACUACAAUACAGUAUGGGACCAUAUGUGUACUAGCCGUAAUUGGUCGAGGACUCCGUAUCAAAGGGGAAGGAAGCCACAGGCAGAUAGAGAGAGAGAGAGAGGAAAAGGGGCAGCUACCUGCAGCUUACAUGACUGAGUGAGGGUUGGUAGCUAAGACAAAAAAAAGAAACAGUAAGAAAAUCCUUUUACCCCAAAUUCCCAUCUGUCUCGAGUUUAAGCAAAUCCCAUCAUCAUCAUCAUCAUCAUCAUCGUCGUCGUCGUCAUUCUUGUAAUUCGUGCUUCCUAGUCACUGCUGAAUGCUUUGCCCUUUUACUCCUUUCUUCUUCUAACUUUUUGGGUCUUUUGAUUAGGUAACCAUCAUGCUACUUAAAUCAUCCAUGAGCUUCUCGAUUAGUUAAUCAUCCUAAUUUGUUCAUUUUUCCUUCUCAUCUAAAAUAUUUUAAUUACUCCCUACAUAUUUUUUCCUUGGACUUUGCUCCGUUUGCUUUGUCUAGCAAGUGAACAUAUUUUGGAAAAUUUUCGUUUAAGUUGUUUGUUAUCACUUGUUGGUGAUAAUCAAGUGGGUCUUGGCGAUUUUUGUUUUUGUUUUUUUUUUCGGGUUGAUUUUAGGAUGUGGGUUUGUGAUCCUUUUGGUUGCAUAUCAGAAGUAUUACUACUGCUCUUAUUAUAUAGGAUUAAUAUUAGAUGUUAUUGUAGUUUGUCCUAAAAAAAGGUAAGAAGAUGUUAUCCUAGUUGGUGAUACUCAUGAUCUAAGGGCCAAUUCCCCACCCCCCCCCCCCCCCCCCCCGGGGGUUUUGGGGCGGCUGACUUUAGUACACGGUUCUCAAAUACUUACAUAGGAGUAAGGUUUACCCGUAGUUGUAGAUGCUUUGCUUAGAUGGCUUGUGGAGGAGAUCUACAACUUUGUUCUUACAAUUUUGAUUUUGUGGGUGUUGGAUCUCUUGUAUCAUUGCUGCAACGAUGCGGACUUGGCAAAUCAUUACUCGUCUUUUGGGUAUUGUGUUGAAUUGAAGAUAUGCACGCAUAUGUCUAGUGUUCAUUUAUGUUAGUUAUUAAUGUAAGACUUUAGUUCUGAGAUGCUCUGCGUAUUUUAGAUAUGUGAAUUUAUUAAUUCUAUAGCUGUGCUUUCUCAACACUUGUCAUAUACCUCAAAUAAAUGUGUUCCUCCAAUUCCAUCUACUGCAGUAAUUUCAGUACAGGAAAAUAGUAAUCCGUGGACUUUUUUUUUUUUUUUCCCAGUUAGGAGGAGUUAAAUAGUGGGUUUCAGGUUAGAUUUGAUGGAUCCAGGGGGUGAUGAGCAAUUAGACUUUGGAGAUGAAGAAUACGGAGGGAGUCAAAAGAUGCAGUAUCAUAGAGGUGGAGCAAUACCUGCACUUGCAGAGGACGAGAUGAUCAAUGAGGAUGAUGAAUAUGAUGAUCUCUACAAUGAUGUUAACGUUGGGGAGGGAUUCCUGCAGAUGCAGCAGCAGCAGCGGUCUGAGACACCACGGGCUCCUCUUGGUGUGGGCAAUGGGGGAUUCCCAGCUCCUAGAGCAAGUGUUCAGGAUCCGAGAGCAGAAACUGUGGUAACGCAAGGUGUAAACAUCCCUCGAUCUGCAACUGAAGGAAAGUAUACCAACUCUGGUGUUCGAUUUCCUGAUCAGAAGAGUGGACUGGCAUCUGAUGUAGGUGCCCUCCCUGGCACUGAUGCUUCUCAGAAAGGAAGAGCUCCAGAGAUUAUUCAUAACUCUCAAGCUGGAAAUUUGGGAUAUCAAGGGUCCAUGGCUGUUGCUAUGUCACAAAAGGUUGGAGUAGAGUCACUUGAUAUGUCAGGAAAAGUUACAGGGGAGCCUGGGCCAUUGCUAAAUCCAGUUGCGGGUGCCCCCAGAGUCAUUCCGCAGGUGCCAGCUAAUCAUAUGAGUUCAAGUUCGAAUGUUAAUAGUAUUCGCCCAGUUGUUACUGAAAACCAGGUAAGACCAGCUGUAGAGAAUGGGAAUACAAUGCUCUUUGUUGGAGAGCUGCAUUGGUGGACUACUGACACAGAGCUUGAGAGUGUUUUGACCCAGUAUGGGAAGGUCAAGGAGAUUAAAUUCUUUGAUGAGAGAGCUAGUGGAAAAUCUAAAGGCUAUUGCCAAGUUGAAUUCUCUGAUCCUGCUGCAGCAGCUGCAUGUAAAGAAGGCAUGAAUGGUCAUGUCUUUAAUGGGCGAGCGUGUGUGGUGGCGUUGGCUACUCCACAAACCAUUAAACAGAUGGCUGCUUCUUACAUGAACAAGACACAAGUCCAGUCUCAGUCCCAGUCCCAGCCACAGGGUAGGAGACCAAUGAACGAUGGUGCAGGUAGGGGCAAUGGAACUAAUUAUCCCAGUGGAGAUGCUGGGAGAAACUUUGGGCGUGGAGGAUGGGCUGGACGAGGAGGUCAGGGGAUGCCCAAUAAGGCUCCAGUAGGUGUACCUGGAAGAGGGAGAGGAACUGUUGGAGCGAAGAAUAUGAUGGGGAAUGCUCCAGGUGGUGGAAAUGGUGUCACUGGAGGAGCUUAUGGUCAGGGCCUUGCAGGUCCUGCUUUUGGUGGCCCUCCUACUGGCUUAAUGCAUCCUCAGGCAAUGAUGGGUCCCGGAUUUGAUCCGACAUAUAUGGGUCGAGGAGCUGGGUAUGGAGGCUUUUCGGGUCCUGCUUUCCCUGGGAUGAUCCCUCCAUUUCCAGCUGUUAAUCACAUGGGUCUUGCUGGGGUGGCUCCUCAUGUCAACCCUGCCUUUUUUGGGCGAGGAAUGGCUGCUAACGGUAUGGGUAUGAUGGGGACGGGAGGAAUGGAUGGACCUCACGCAGGAAUGUGGACCGACACAAGCAUGGGAUGGGGCGGAGAAGAACAUGGUCGAAGGACAAGGGAGUCAAGUUAUGGUGGUGAAGACAAUGCCUCUGAGUAUGGGUAUGGAGAGGCAAGCCAUGAUAAGGGUGUGCGGUCAAGUGCUGCUUCGCGGGAGAAGGAACGAGGUUCUGAGCGUGACUGGUCAGGGAGUUCGGAUAGAAGGCAUCGUGAUGAGAGAGAGCAUGAUAGGGACAGGUAUGACAGGGAUCACAGGUACAGGGAAGAAAAGGAUAGUUAUAGGGAAUAUCGUCACAAGGAGCGUGACCCAGGUUAUGAAGAUGAUUAUGACAGGGGACAACCUUCGAGAUCCCGGAGCAGGUCACGAGCAGUUCCAGAAGAACAUCACAGGUCUCGAUCAAGGGAUGCAGAUUAUGGGAAGCGGAGGCGCCUGCCAUCAGAGUGAUGUUAUCAGGUGGUUUUUAUUCUUAUAAUGGCCCUUUGUGCAUGAAAGCACCAACCUUAUCGGCUCUCAGUAGCAUUUGCCAGACUGCAGCAAAGCACCGUCAAUCUGAUUUCUGUUUAUGCUGCACACGAAGUGGCUUCUGGUCUAAAGAAGUAAGUCAUUUCUGUGAGGAUGCAGGAAGAACAGAUUUCGUUUGCUUUAUUCUUCACUGCAGAACAUAACAUGGUGCAAGACUUAAUAUUCGUACUACAAACUUUAAUUUUUUUUUUACUAGGAUAUUUUUGUGGAUUAGCUUUGUGGAGUGAUACUGUGUUAACCCUGCUGUGAGCCACUAUGUCUGCCCUGCUUAUUUCGCUUUUAGGAGUGAAUUGACAUCUAGCGGGAUAAGACUUAAGAUACUCAUAUUUGGAGUCACUUGACGUCUUGGACCUAUAUAUUUAAGUAUAUGUGUGACUUAACUAUGCUUAUGCUUUAUUUGUAAGCACCAUUCUGCAUUUUUUUGGUCUGAAGUUGGAAGUUUGAGGUUAAAAUUGAAUCCUUGCUGAUUUUGUGUGAGUUUGUUUUGCAAGUUUCAUGUGUAUCCUUAGAUGACGUGCAUUGCGGAGUGUUGGCAAAUAGCUGAGCAGUUGAUGUCUCUUUUAUUGUUUCACAUGUUUGGAAGAGAUGCUUUAUCCUCUAAAGGGUCUGUCUUGUCAUAAGAUGUAUUGGCUAUGUAUGCAUAGCAUAUAUAUCCUAAGAUAUCCUCUAAAUGUUGUGGUACUGGAUUUUCCUAUGUAGAGCUACUUCAUGCAUACCUUGAAUACAUGUAUCUUGCAUACCUUGAGCAUCCUUUAACUGCCUUUGCAAGUCAAUGUUAUAGGUAAUGUGCUCAAAUUGCUUUUAUAGGGUAAGAAUGAUAUGUAACAUAAUUAUCAAGUUUCUUGAUGAGCAAGAGACGUGCGUUUGCAAGUUGUUUCUAACUGUUGAUUCUUUGCCCAUUUAUUGCAUAAGAGCCUUCCUUAUGAAACGUCAUCUGGUGAUUUUUUGGUCAUGAGCUCUGAUCAAUCGGAGUACAUCUAUAUGGAUCAUAUAUACCUGAUAUUUUAUAAAUCAGCCGAAAUAGUGCUAGCAAUAUCUUUUAACCACAGGCUGCACUUUUAACAUCUUCAUCAGAGGCUACAAAGUUAACCUGAAUAGCUAAAUUUAUGUACUUUGUGUAAAUUUUUUUCAAAGUGCAAAAUACUGUGCCUUUUGAGUGUUGCUCCAGCUACCUUUGUCCGUGUAUAGCAAGUAAUAAUCAUCUUAUGACUGAGAAUGGUUUGUGUUGUAUGAAAGGAAAUAAGAGAAUGACUGCACACCCUUUUGUUUUGUUUGUUGGAGAUUUUUUUUUUUUCUGUCCAUAUCAUAUGCAGUUAAUAUAUAUAUAUCAUGAUUUGGCUUUUUGAUAGUCCCCUUUUAAUAAGUAUUGACAUGGGCUCUAAUAAUCAUAUUCAGGGAGCAGAGAGACAACUCUUUGUUUUGUGACUAAAUCAGCUGAAUUGGUUACUUGAAGGAAGAUAAGAUAAAUUGGUCGCUAUUCUUGGAUUUCUUUGAAAACAUUAGUCAUCUACCUAAUGUGCCAAAGAAGCCUUAAUCAUACUGGCUGCAUUUCGUUUUCCUCAAGAACUUAGUGAAAUGUUCAUAAGUGAUGCCUCUGCAAGAAAAUGUCUAAACAGUCAAAUUCGCCAAACUGUAACAUUCGGGGCCAUUAUAGUUAAUUCUUCAUGUAGCUACCAUAUUUACGUGUCCACUUUUGUUGUUUUUUUUUUUUUUUAAAUCAUAGAUCCCAUGUUCUAGGUUUCACGUGUAAUAGUGCUUCAAUGUCGCUGUCUAAUUUGUGAGGUAUGUAGCCAAUUCUUUUGUAUAUGAUGUACUGUAUAUGGUAGCACUGGUCCUGUUCAUGCGAGGGUUUUUUUUGUUUCAAAUUGUACUGUAUCUUGGAGUUGGGUUGCUACAAUAUCUCAAGGGGAUUUCAUUUGGUUGAUGGUGCUUGUACCGGUCUGAGCUUAUGAAGCAUGAGAUAAAUUCUCACGGUUCUUUGCAAAUUGUAGAUCUUGUUUGUCAGAAUUGCACUCCUGUAUAUGGUGGAAUUGGUGGCAAAAGUGUCUGAUUUUGUGGUUGUAUAGGAUAGCAUAAGUAGGGUGCCAACCAUAGGAAGUUAACUGUAACAUUCUCAAGGAUUUGAUCCGGCAUAUUUUCGUCACGAGCUUGAAGGUCCCGCUUUCCAACCUUACAAUGUAAUCUAAAAAUUUCUUUGAUUUUUCUAGUUCUUGGAAUGUAAAUGUUUCGCACUAGAUGGGGUUGGGACCAGUGAUCUCUCUCUUUAUUGGAGUCGUGCUCUUUUUGCUGCAUCUGUUCCAUGCGUUUCUAAUCUCGUGCGUCUGUUCGUCUAGAGUUGAUUUAUGCAGGGAAGCGUAUUUAUUUAUUUAUUUAUUUUUUUUUUUGGUUUAGGAAAAUAAGAAGUGAGAUAUGGAGAUGAUAGUAACUGUGUGUUUGUUAUUCUCCUGCCGGAUAAACUUACAAGUCGCAGGACCAUAAUCUUUUCUCCCACUUCCACUUGUCAUUGGAGACGUAGCUCUGUUGUUAUAGCCUGCUAAUUUUUCUGCGGCAACUGUUGUAUUUGUCAUUGGAGUAUGUUACCUUAGUUUGCCAUCAAAUGUCACCCCUUCUAUCCCCGCUUGUGUAUGUAUUUUUGCAGCCAGUAGUUCCAUCCUAAAUCCUUGAUGCUCUAACUUGCAAUCCUUGAAAACCAAGAUGACAGAGAUAAGACGAAUGAGAUUAUUAGGAGUAUUUGGCCAUUACUUUCCUGGUGUUUGGUCCAGAACUCGUGGAUGCUAUAGCUGGGAACACGAUUGUCUCCUCCAAGUAGGACAGGAGCCGAUUAAAUGUGUUCACGUAGAGAAAAUUGCUGCCCAAUAAUUAGCUGGGAAAACCUCUACUUGAAGAUUCCCCCGCCCCCCCCCCCUCCCCCCACCCCCAAACAAAAUUGUAACAUAACGAAGUAUGUGGGAUUGGACAACACGGUCAAGCAUUUGGGAAUCGCUGGCUAUGAUAUUUUUCACAAUUAAUUUUUUUUUUUAAAAAAAGAAAAGAAAAGGAAAUUUACUAUUGCAUCUUCAUAUAUUAAUAUUAUGCUUGAUCGUUGAUGUGAUGUUUGGCUUACCAUUCAUUCAAAACACACUAGCUGAGGGUCUUGGAUCCAUCACUCGCGAAUAAUUGGUAUGGUCUAGUUUGAUUACAGGCUAGGCGCUGUGUGUCCUCCUUCUAUGUAUGGUUAUCGGCUAGGAGCUUAGUAAGGUGAAGCGAGGUUUCAGCACCACCAAUGGGGCAUCAAUUCUACUGCAAUCGCCACCUAAAAAUUUUCAUCAACACAUUGGUUUCUACAAAAUUGGUGGACUGCAACAACCUUAAUGAUAACUCAUGGUUCCAUAAUAAAACCAUUGCUGAAAAUGUGCAGGGCCUUUCAGGGGCACCGUCAAAUUCAAGGACUCGGGAAAACUUAGCCCCGAAAUCCGCGUUACUGGAGACAAGACAUCCAUUCCCACAUUUCCCCAUCUUGGCUGACAUUAUUAUAAGUACCCCUCCAUUCACCACAAUAUGCUUCAUUGCAGUGCUUCUCUGUUGCAUCAAGAGAAAUUGCUGCAUACUUUAAAGAGAAAAAAAGAAAAAAAAAAACUACGAGAAGCUUUGUGCAACAAUGGCUCGCCAAAUUGUUGUCCUUGCUCUUAUCUUCUUUGCCAUUGUUGGCAUGGCUUCUGCAACCGCCCAAGCUCCAGCUGCUAGUUCCGAGUCAGAAGCAGGUAUCGGCCCGGCGCCCGAUAACCACGACAUUGGCCUCGUUGGUGGUUCUGGUGCCGACUACGGUGCUGCGCCUAUUGGUGGACCUGUGACACCAGGAACUUUCUCCCCUGGCAGCCCUGCUGAAGCACCAAAUGGCAGCGGUUCAACCAUUCUUGAAGCAUCUGCCGUUGCCGGUCUCGUCGUCUCCGCCAUCGCGGGUUCAUUUUUCUUCUAAAUCCUAGUCCACUCAGAUGUGUGACAAUUACUUGUAUUACUCGUCCUUGUGAUCAUUGAGCCUGUAUUUUCUGUUGUAAAAUUGAGGCACACCAGAAAAUGCAUUGGACGACAGAGUUUUACUACUGUUUUUCUGAAGUUUAAGGCUCCCUUUUGUUUGUUUCUUCUUUCUUUCCUUUUUCCCCCGGGUCCUCCUUCAAUGCUCGAAGAUUUUCUACUUCCCAAUUUUGUGUAUUAACCAACAAUACUAGAAGAGUUAAUAAAGAGCGUCCAAUUGUGAACCUGCCGCAUUGCUACUUUUGUUGGUGAGACAUCCGGAAAAUAAUCUGGUUAAUAUUCAAAUAAAAUUUCAUGAAAAAAUCAAGAACACAAAUACUCUUUUCCCUGUGGAUGAUUUGAUCACAUUUCAGCGCUGGAGGGGGCAACGAACGAACUCCUAUUUCAUGCACUUGCGGCUUUUGCCCUUGUCGGGGUAUAAACCAUGGUGCGGGAGGGUCGUAAGUCGUAAGUCGUAAGUAAGGGCCGAUGCCUCUUUAAAAAUCACGCUAUUCAGGUGAAGGCGUGAUCAUAAGCACAGACAAUAACCCACGCCUCUUCUUAAGACUUAAAAAAAUGUGUUUGAAAGUCGCGAUAUUUCCAAUACAAUGGUCCAGCUAUCUCCGCUUAUCGUCUGAUUUCCAAAGGACUGUAUACAUCAUUAAUUGAAGCAGAAGAAAAAGCUUAUAGAAAAUUUUUGCAAAUGACUUUUUUUUUUUUUUUUACAGAAGUUGGAUUAGCGUAGAAAUAAAAAUAAAAUAAAAAGGUUGUGGAAGUUAUGAGAAAAUUCUGACAUUCAAAAAAGUGUCCACACUCUUAAUAGGACACCUCAUAACUUAAAUAAGUGGACAACCACCUUUUAAGCCUCGUCUGUUUGAAGUUGCGAUGGUUUAUUAUGAAGGGAAAGAAAAAACACUUCUAACAUAUAAUAAGUAUUUUUAACAAGAGUGUUUUUAAAUUAUCAAAAGUUGGGCUAUUUAAAAUAGAAAAAAUUAAUUCCCUAACACCACCCUACAAGUACCUUUAAUACUUAAAAUGGCUUCCCUUUUUUUUUUUUUUAAAUGGGUAAGCACACCGUAGCCCCCAAACAGGACCUUACUCUUGAGAACGUCAAAGGAUUAAGUGAAUAACCCUUUCCAUGAGCAUUUUUCAUGUCAAUUUAUAUGAUAUACUCCAUAUCCAAAUUGAGUUCAACUUAGUAAAAGUUGAUGCAAAAUUGACUCAUGAAUCAAUCAAAUUAACACGAACAAAUGUCAGUCUUUGUUAUUAUCUUCAUAAGUUUGAAUUGGAUUUGAUCACACAAUAAAAUAAAUAAAAAAUUCAUCUAUGCAGUUUGAUUUGUAAGUCAAACACUAUACAAGAACCUUUUUUUUUUUUUUUUUAGUCUAACACUAUACAAGAAUUUGAUAGCAGUUUGAUUAGAUAAAAAUCAUCUGUGCUUAUUAGAUUCAAUGGAGCUUAAAUAAUACUUAAACAUAAUUGUAAAAUAAUUAUUAAAGUCAAAUUAAAAUCAGAAUUUUUUUAAAAAAAAGUCAAAUUAAACCUGAACCCAACAAAGUUCGGUUCGAUUCGGUUUGUUUCUACGGUCAUCAUACCUUGAUGUUAACCCGACCACCGGUUCGGGCCAAAAGCGAAGGAAGAAAGAAAAGAAGCGGGAGUAUAAUAUAAGGGAGGGUUUUAGCACAAAUGGAAGCGAGUUGCCGAGUUAGGGCAAAGCCAAACUUCUGAAAGCUUCCGGAGUGGGACUGCAAGCAGUGCUCAAUACUCAUAGAACACUCAUUUUCACUUGUAUUCUCUCUCUUUUUCUGAAUCUCUGGUGGUCUUUCAGAUCGGAUCCCCGAUAAAUGGCGUUGGCGUUCGAUGAGUUUGGUCGGCCGUUCAUUAUAAUUAAAGAGCAAGAGUCCAAGACUCGAUUGCGAGGCCUUGAUGCUCAGAAAACUAACAUUGCUGCCGGAAAGGCCGUCGCUCGUAUUCUCCGUACCUCACUUGGCCCUAAAGGCAUGGAUAAGAUGCUUCAGAGCCCCGACGGCGACAUCACUAUCAGUAAUCUACUAAUCUCUUCUUACUCUUCCCUUCCUCUACGUUAUCAAAUUGUAGAAUUAUGUUGGUUUUGUGAGGUUUAUUAGUGAGUUGUGACUGUUAAAGUAUCUGUGUGAUAAAGCUCGGGUUUUAGGAGCUUCAUUGCUGGAUUUAAAAAUUUUUUAUUUAAUUUUAAUUAGUAAUUGUAAUUAGUAGAUUUCUAAGUAAAGUCUGAUAAAAGGUUGGUACUUGGACUUGUGUAGUGGUAUUUGAGAGUGGAACGCACCUAAUUUAGGUGAAAGUGGAUGAUGGUCUUUACUGAACGUUACAAAAAAAAAAAAAUUAAAUCCUUGAUUAGAUUGGCAAAUUGACAAGUGUAGGAAAAUUUGCUGGAGAUGUAAGAUGAUUAAAAUUUGGAUGACGAGCUUGCAGUUUUUUUUGUAAUUCCAUCCCUACAUUGUGCUGGUAGUUCAUUUACUGCACUAAAUAGGUGCUUGUUCUUUCCUUUUUUGUCCCCGCCCUCUCUGUUAUCUCAUUUGUUGUGACUAUGUAAUCGAGUUUGGAAGUGUCUGUGAUCCAGAAGAGUUUGAUUAACAUUUGAAUCGCGGUGUUCGAACUUUUGGUGUUUAGCUGUUUGAAAGAAGAUGUCAUUAGGUUAUCUGGAAUUGAAUAUACUUGUUUUAUGUUUGAAAUUGAGGACUGAUGGAGAAUGCAUGCUGCCUGUGGUGUCUGUCUUGACCUUUUCUUGUACCCUUUUUAGAAUUGAUAUGCCACCUUUCCGGUUGUCAUACUUGGAUGCAUGCCACAUUUUUCAUAGAGCAUAUGCUGUUCUCGGUGAUGUGGAUUAAAAAAAAUAAGGAAUGAACAAAAAUUAAAUGGAAGAAAAGGAAGAGUUGUCAUCUAUCUUAACUUUCUUUUCUGUUCUGAGGUUUUCUAAUACUUGACACCAUGAUUUGCAGCAAAUGAUGGUGCAACAAUCUUGGAGCAGAUGGAUGUCGACAAUCAAAUUGCAAAGCUGAUGGUUGAAUUAUCUCGUAGUCAAGAUUAUGAAAUUGGUGAUGGAACAACUGGUGUUGUUGUCAUGGCUGGUGCUCUCCUUGAACAAGCUGAGCGGUUACUUGAACGCGGUAUUCAUCCUAUCCGGAUAGCAGAAGGAUAUGAAAUGGCUUCAAGGAUAGCUUAUGAACAUUUGGAACAUAUAGCACAGAAGUUUGAGUUCGAUGCCACAAACACAGAGCCUUUGAUUCAGACUUGUAUGACUACUUUAUCUUCCAAGAUGUAAGUACCAGGUUACUUCAAUCUUUGAUUUAUUUUUGCUUGUCUUCAAAUGGUUGUUCUGUAUGGUAAUUGGCGUUAUAGGAUAUUUGUAAUGAUUAGUUUUAAUCCAAUGAGAAAAGUAAGAUAGGCUGUGUAUCGUUAUAUUGCUCUGGUAUGUCAUUUUGUUAAAGGACUGACGUACUUCCUGCUGUUGUGGAUGAUAGUCAGUUUCCUGCAUGGAAGUUAAGCUUUCUGGUGAUUGGUUAAGAUGACCUUGCUACACAUUUUUGUCUGUUCGGCAUGAUAGGUAGAUGUUGCUGUUAUAAGUUACAGAUGCCAAACUUGGUUAUAUAUUGCUGGAUAUCUUUAUAAUUUUGGAUAAGAAAUCAUCGAAGUUCUCUCCUCUCUCUCUCUCUCUCUCUCUCUCUCUCUCUCUCUCUGUGAACAAAUGAACUUGAGUAGAGAGAAUGAAAGUGGUCAGAUGCACAGUUCUUAAUUGAAAAGUAUGACCUGUUUGCUUGCUUUUAAGUCAUUUUUAAAGUUCCAUAAACCUCUUAAGUUGUUUCAUCUUCUGAAUUUUAGUGCCUUUAAAAUUUUACUGCAGUGUGAAUAGAUGCAAACGCAGUUUGGCUGAGAUUGCUGUCAAAGCAGUUCUGGCAGUUGCAGAUCUAGAGAGGAGGGAUGUGAACCUGGAUCUGAUCAAGGUAGAAGGAAAAGUAGGUGGAAAGCUGGAGGAUACUGAGCUAAUAUAUGGAAUCAUUGUUGACAAAGACAUGAGUCACCCGCAGAUGCCCAAGGAGAUACAAGAUGCAAAAAUUGCUAUUUUGACUUGCCCCUUUGAGCCACCUAAGCCAAAGACCAAGCAUAAGGUUGAUAUUGACACUGUGGAAAAAUUCCGAACAUUGCGUCAACAAGAGCAGAAAUACUUUGACGACAUGGUACAGAAGUGCAAGGUAAGAUUGCAUGAAGGGCUACAAGUGUGGAGAGGAAUCAUAGAAGUAACCUAGUCUGGCCCCUGUUUUAGUCCAAAAUGCAAAUUGGGAAAAGCAGAUGGAUACUUAAUGUGUGUAUCCAGUUUUGCUUUACUUUUAUGAGCAAAAAGAGGAAUGGAAACACCAAAGUUUUUCUUAUGACUUCAUGGUUCCCUUUCCUCAUAUAUUGAGAGAUAUUUUUGUACUAGUGAGGAAUGCUGCAAACUUCUUCCCCUCCCGGUUGGUUUUAGAAUUUCUAAACAAUUGAUACAUGUAAUUGAAUUAUAGAAAUCAUUAUUCUAAUUUCUAGAAGGCUCAGUUUUUUGGAUGUUGAGUAGCGUCAUAAAUUUUUUUUUUUUUAAACUAAUCUCAACAUAACCUGAGUUUCAGGAUGUUGGUGCUACCUUGGUAAUCUGUCAAUGGGGUUUUGAUGAUGAAGCAAAUCACUUGUUAAUGCACAGAAACCUGCCUGCUGUACGUUGGGUUGGUGGUGUUGAGUUAGAGCUGAUAGCGAUUGCCACAGGUUUUUGUUUUAGUUGCCUCUCAGAGUAUUACUUUUUUGCCUGCUGUUUCUGCAUGGUCAUGUUAAAUCUAUAUGUUUAUCUUGCUCUAUUGGUUGCUUAGGUGGAAGAAUUGUGCCAAGGUUUCAAGAGUUGACACCAGAAAAGCUAGGCAGAGUAUUUCCCAUUUCCUUCUAGUUGCUCUUUGUAUAUUAUACAGAUAAAUGUUUCCAUCCCUGCAAUUAUAUUUGCAAAUGAUAUUUCUUGUGGUCAGAUUAUGUAGGUUAGGGCACUACUUCUUUGACUGCUAUAAGCAGUGAUUCUGUUCGUGAGUCUGCCAUAACAUCAUCAAUAUUUCUGCAAAUGACAACUUUGUCAUUAUUAACAACAAAGAACUGGAGAGCCCUAAUAAGAUUUUUAAAGCUUGUAUGUAUUCAAAUUUAGUCCUGUUAUUAAUUGAGCAAACAAGUGUCUUGGACACUUUUAACCAUACUGGGGCAGAUUUUCCAUUAUUUUUAGGUAAUUUCCGCGCAGAUCUCAAUAACGAUGAGAAUGUUGGUUAAUUAUGUUGUAUUUUAAAAGACAUUUGACUUUAGAUCUGCAUUGUUACCGAGUCUCUAAUAUCCUCCCCUUCUCUUCUUUAAGUUUUAUUUUUAUCUCUGCUGCAAUUCAAAUAAAGUUCACUGCUCGAAUUUAUUAUAUGUUAAACUUUAUAUCAAGCUAUAUUAAAGGUAAUUAAAAACUUAGUUCUCCUUAUGUUGAAAUUGUGUGUACAUAAAGUUCGUGAGAUGGCAAGUUUGGUGCACCUCAUGAGAAAUAAAACAUUGAGCUUAUCUUUAUUGCCCGGAGACAUUGUUAUGAUCAAACUUUUAUCGUUUAUUUAGGGUUUUUGAUUUCUUCUGCAAAUGUGUUUGAUUCAAUGCUUGCUUUGCAUAUCCAGGCGGGUUUGGUUCGUGAAAAAGCAUUUGGUACCACGAAAGAUCGCAUGAUUUACAUUGAGCAUUGUGCAAAUUCAAGAGCUGUUACAAUUUUCAUUCGCGGUGGUAGGUUGCUCCCUCCCUCCAGACUCCCGCUCUUGCUUAUUUUAUUGCAGCAUGGUUCACAUAAACAAAUUAAAUGUCAUUGUAUGCUAAAUAGAGUUCACAAUUUUUAACUAAGUUUUCUGUUGAUAGUGCAAAUCAUCACAACCAAAUUAACAUGCAUUUUUUGCUUUAUUAUUAUAUUGCUUUAGGUAACAAGAUGAUGAUAGAGGAGACAAAGCGUAGCAUCCAUGAUGCUUUAUGUGUAGCUAGAAAUCUUAUCCGCAACAACUCUAUAGUAUAUGGCGGUGGUUCUGCUGAGAUUUCUUGCUCAAUUGCUGUGGAGGCAGCUGCUGAUAAGUAUCCUGGAGUUGAGCAGGUAAGGUGCUUUUUGUGUUGUUUUGACUAUUUAAGUGGCCAAUAUGAUACUAAGGUUUUUCUACUUCUGCAGUAUGCCAUUCGGGCAUUUGCUGAUGCUAUGGAUUCUGUCCCCAUGGCACUUGCUGAGAACAGUGGGCUCCAACCCAUUGAGACUCUAUCUGCUGUAAAAUCGCAGCAAAUUAAGGUAAGCUGGAGUUGAGUUACACAUAAUUUCUUGCUUGAGUUUGGCUUCUUUGAUUUAGUUCGAGUGAAAUGAUUUUGUUUUGUUGCCAAAUUCGUAUGCAGGAGAAUAACCCCUGGUGUGGGAUAGACUGCAAUGAUGUUGGUACAAAUGACAUGCGUGAGCAAAAUGUAUUUGAAACUUUAAUCGGGAAGCAGCAGCAGAUGUUGCUUGCAACUCAAGUUGUUAAGAUGAUCCUUAAGAUUGAUGAUGUCAUCUCUCCAUCUGAUUAUUGAUUUUGAGUUACAAGAGACUGUUUGUUUGUCUGCAAGAGUGCUGACAACUUCAACGAGUGAUCUCCUCUGGUUGGAUGUUUUGACAUAUUUGCUUUAUAAUUGUUAGACUUUAUGUGAUUUAUGGAUUUGUAAUCCUUCGGAAGAUGCAUGAUUCUCUUCAUGAUCGUUAGACUAGUAUUGACACCAAUACUUAGCUGAGAAUAUCCAACACGGUUUUUGUUUGUAAACUAAAAUGGUGCCUAUUGUUUUCUGUGACUGGUUACAUGAUGCCCCUUGUAAUCUGAAGUCGCAGAACCUAUGCAUCUUGCACUUAGAUCCUUGGAAUGUCUCCUCAAAAAAAAGAAAAAAAAAACUUGGAAUGUAUGUGGGACUAGCGGGUCUGUAGCGCCAAAAAAUAGCUAGCAUGUUUGUGUAGACAACCCAGGGAUUUCACCCUAUAUUGAUCUUCUUGGCCAUUAUCUGCUGCUUCAUUCUAUCUCAGGAAAGUCAAUAGAAACGAUGAUUAGUCUUCCAUAUGGUGACAUAAUGGCACUAAAAGAGUUUAUCAUCUGAUGUGGUAAGUUGUAAUAGUUGGCUAUCUCAAAUUUCGUAGAGUUUAGGCAAUCAAGGCCAGUUUGAACAGCGAAUCAAUUUAAGCUGCCACAUUGAGUGUUUCAUUUUUACGAGGCACAGCUUCAGACAACCGCAGUUGCACCUUGAAAAAUUCUGUGGCUUGACAAAAAAAAAAUAGCAGAGAAUAUACUGCUAUUGAGUUGUGGGGAACUUCGGGCAAGGAAUGCAGCAGGUCCCAAUAACUACUUUAAGGUAACCGGGAAAUGUUGUGUCAUCCUCGAGACAACCCUUAGAAAGGGAGUUAGGAUUAGCGUAUUGAACUGCUCGUAGGACUGAAAUUUAGUGCUUUAGUACAACGUUGGGCAAAAACAAAAAAUGUAAGAUUCAAAUCCUGUGGUGUAUAUCAUGUUUUAACGCUGUGCAUGAGAAUCAAAAAAAUGUACUACGUAAUAUAUUUGCAUUGUAUUGAAAAUGAUUUACAUUCUGAACCAAUGAAUUUAUAUAUAUUCUGUUGAAUUUAGCAAAACCGUUACUAGAGGGUUGCGCACUCGCACGGUAACCGUCCAUGCCCGAGGUUUCAAAAAAGAAGAAAAAGAGGAGGGUUUUUGGUUCUCUGACAACCAAGGGCCAGGGGAUCUAACUUUUAGGGAAGGUCAGUUUUAAAACUUUUAUUUACUGCCAUGCGAUCCAAGGAUUGUUGCCUCAAAAGUUCAGAGAGACGGUAGAUUAAUUCACUGAUUUAUGGCUUCUUGGAUUUGCCUAGAGCACGAGUGGGGACUCAGGAGCAAUUAAUAGCAGCACGGCUGAAGUGUUAUUGUAACUCUGCCUUCUGCAAACAACAUCUGGGCAUUCAUAUCGCAUUUCAAAGGAUAGGUUGAAUUUAUUGUUGUUGUCAAUUCUGUCAACUGAACAUGGUUAAUCGAUUUGUCGGCCUCAAGACCAGCCUUUCUUUCUUACGGAAACGAAAUUUGUUUAAUUAAACCUAAUCCCAGAACAGUACUCAAGAGCAGCCUUUCCAUUGAGUAUUAAGUAGGCCUCCCAUGUUUGGGAAGCUAUCCUGAAGUAUUAGAUUAAUAUGUUUUAUGUACUAACGCUAAUAUUUUUUUUACACGAACAAUCUUGGAUAGAUAUAUGUCACAUGUGCGUAAUUUCAAUUUUAAAUUUAAAUUUAUGUUAUAUGGCAUGAUCUAAAAUUAUUUGUGAAAAAAAAAAAUCUUCCCACUGGCAGUGUAUGAAAAAAGUUAUCCUAAAGUAUUUAGGCCUAUUUUGUGUACAAGUAACACUUUAGAUUAAAACUUGGGUUAAUUAAAAAAAACUCCUCUUUAAGAUAUAUCUAUUAAUGCACAUUGCCCUUUAAUGUUAUUUUUUUCUCACUUUAUCCCCUAAACCAUUAGUUGGUUCUAAUGUUGUGUAAUGGUAAUGUCAAAAAUAUAUUUAUACCCUUAAUAGUUAAAUGCAACAAUUUACCUAGCUUAUUUUACACUUUAUUCCCUAACAUUAUUUUUUCCCAAUUUGUCUGUUUGUCAUUGAAAUAGGUAGUCAACUCUAAUAGUUUAUAAUGCUCAGGAGAAAUAAUGUCUAAAAAAUAAUAUCCUUAGCAUAGUAAUGAAAAAAUAAUAUAUGUAUAUAUAUGGUCCUAAUUAAAUUUCAUCCCCUAAUUAAUAAUUUUUUUAGAUUGGGAGAAAUAUCUUGCUAAUUUCACCAAUAAUGGCAAAAAAUAUUCUUGAAAAAUUAAUAUGUGAAAUUAAUAUUAAAAGUCUAAAAAUGCUCGAAUAUUUUCAAUAUCUCUUUGUGAACGUGCCUAUGGUUGCACUUUUCCUUUAAUAGCUAGAUAUUUUUUUUUAUAUGGGAAUAUACAUUUUUUUUGUUUAUAAUACUUAAAAAAGAGAGAAAUAUGAUUGAUUUGGGUUUCACGGUUUUUGGGUCGAUUUUUUUAAUAUAGCAUGAUUAGAUGCUAUUAAAAAUUGUUUGGAUUACUAAAUUUUUCUAAAAAAAGAACUUUUUCUCACAUCAUAAUUAUAUUUCUCAAUGAUCUUUUUAAAUUUUUCUACCAUCUUUUUAUUUCAUAAACAUCAAAUCACAAAAAGUAUUUUUUAAAAAAAAAUUCAAAUAAUCUUUAAUCCAAGCAAACCCAAUCUAUAGACUUUUAAUAUAUUUUUAUAGUUUAUUUUUCACUAAUAAUAUUUGUUUUUUCCCCUUAUCAUGUAACACGAGUGCGAUAAAGUGCAAAAUUGGUUGAACCUUGAGGAUAGUUAAAAACUUUUGUAGGUUUGUAGAGCUUACAUGAACACAAGAUGACAGUCAUACUCUGAAAUUCGAUUAGUCUACAAACGAUUGACAUUUGAAGGAGAAAAAGAAGAAUGAUUAGACCAAGUAAACCUAUCAACUUUUAAAAUAUUCGUCUAAUGGGGACUAGUGACAUGAUACAAUUGGCUUCACUGAAUUAUAUACGCUACUCAUCAGCCCCUCGAAUUCUUUAUCUGGGAGCGGAGCCGAGGCUGUGAGACCAAAUGAUGAACAAGGUGAUAAUUAUUACCAUUAGUUUACAUCCACCAAAAUCACAAGUAAAAGACACUUGGCGUCCACUUAUUGUCGCCUGAUAUGUGAUUAGAAGUAAUUGCAGCAACGAUCCUUGAGUUUUGGAAAUUGGAAAUGUCGUUGGAUCAGCAGCGUGAGCCUUUCCUGCAGAUUAAUGAGCCAGCUCCAGAAGUGAGGGAGGCAACCAGGGAAGAUGGUCUGGCGCUCAAGCUGUAUGCCUUCGAGUAGCUAGAAGAGGCUCCCGCCCCGGACGUAGUGAAGAAGGCACCGUUCAGCAUCAAGUCCCCUUCAGACCUCCAGUUCCAGCUCUUCCAUUCACUCUCUGGUGCAACCUCGUGUUUCGUAACCUUUACCAAUUCAGGCAACAAUAGAACAAUUAACAUCCACUCAGGCUAUAAUUGGUUGUUGCAAACGUAAAAAGAAUUUAAUGCUACUUUUAAUGCUUUAAAUGUCAAUCCCACUUCUUAAAGAGGUGUUUUGAUUAAUGUGGUCAAUCCCACUUUUAAUGCUACUUUUAUGAUGUGAUCCAAAAGCGAGAAACAAAUGAAGAGCAGGGGGAAAAAUAAAUUCUAAAAAGAGUAAGAGUUAAGGAUAGCAAUGGAUUAUCACCUCUUUGGUGAAAAUAUCAUUUGGUGCAAGAAAUCGGUUGCCUUGGCUAUUGAUGGUGGGAGCAGCACUGCCACCAAUUGCAUACAUUUCCCAAUGGGUGUAGUCAUUGUUCACCACAUGGAAGUAUCCGUGUCUACAUCUGCAACAAAAUAUUGAGUUAGAGCACAUCAAAGAUCAUCCUUGGAAGGAUGACCCCUUGAAAUUCAAUUGAUUAUUGAGGUUCUGCAUCUGGCUACUGUUUUUACCUAGGCAUCCUCUGUACUAGCCCUUCACCAAAAUGGUUGAAAGCUAUAGUGACUUGCAUAUUCUUGUCCUGUAAGUAUGUGUCACUAUGGCCUAAAAGCAUAACCUUGUUGUGAUGCGUCAGGUAGUUGUUAGAAAUGGUGAUGGCUGUAGAUCCAUGGAUUGCAUCAAUUAGACCAUCACGGCAGUUGGACAAAGAGCAAUGAUCCACCCAAACAUGGCUUCCACCAAAGAUGGAAACUCCAUCGCCAUCUGAGAGCGUUCUCCAUCCGAAAUGUUCAGGCGAGUCUCUCACAUACGCAUUUCCACCUUGCUUGCAAUCAUGGAUGUUUAGGCCAUGAACGAUGAUAUUAGUUACAUAUUGUAUAGUAAUGCAUGGCCCUCCUGCAAUGUGGACGUUAGCACCUCUACCAUCAAUCGUCUUGAAUGAGUUCAUUAUCAGCUCUUCCUUGAGCUGGAUCACCAUAUCACGAGCAAAUAUAAUCCAUAAAGGUUCAUCUUGUAUGACACCAUAUCUAAGAGUUCCAGGCUUAGGAUUCACAGGAUGAUCUCCAUUGUCCGUAACCACGUAGAUUUCACCAUCUCUUCCACCAACAGCAUGCUUACCAAAUCCAAUAGCGCAAUCAGCUAAGCUUUGGCGGUUCUUCUCCCAAUUGGGGUCGCACCUCCAGCAAUCAUCAAUAGGGUUGCCAGUGCCACAAGAAAGGAAGGCCAGAUUUCUUCUCGAUGCAUUUAUUUUCCUGCAAAAAUUAUUCAUCCAAGAAGUAAUGACAUGACUGGUACUUGUGCUCUGUGAGUUGUGAUCAAUUAUGGAUGCUACAAUAUGCAAUUAGUACUUCUACUUCAUAGUGAAGGAACGAAGUAGUGAGCGCGAAAUGUUGGAAUGAUAUUACCACAAUUCAAGGAUGAAGAACUAGUUAGUAUGAAUUGUACAUACUCGUUUACUUCUUGCACCACUGAUUCGGGGUCUGGCACUGGUGAAGACAAUGUGUUAGUUGAGGCCAAUAACAGAAGCAGGAAAAACAGAAUGGAAUGUGGCAUUGCAGCUGUCUGCUCUUCGACCUGGCUGGAAAUGUGAGGUCCGGGUAGAGGAGAGACAACGGAAAGGUAGAAAAUGGUACGUGUGAAGCUGAAAAAGGUUCAGGUUUAUAUACAGUAUGAGGGUUGGACAUAAAAUUGAUUGAAGAAAACAAUGAGGGCCUACAUGCUCCAGUUCUUCUAAUUCUGUACCUUCACAAUGUGGUUCUGUUACCAAGUCCUUUACACUUAUUAAUAGAGCCAGUACUAGUAUAGUAGUAUAAAUUUCCCCCCACUAACACAAAUUUAAAGUUAAGGUCCAUGCAUGUGACUUGAUAUUGCUCUCAACGUAAGAGCUAGGCCCCCUCAAGCUUUUUUGCUUAUCAGUCUCACAUGGAGUAUAUUAAAGUUUCUCACAUUUAGUCGUGGGGUUUGCUGAGGAAGACUAGUACUGCUGAGCAGUGAGUACUGACCAGAAAAGAAAGGCAAGCACAUUUGAUGCACUUUUUUGUUCUUUCAGUUGUACUUGGGCCUUGCGUGGCCAUCGAAGUAGUUUAAUUCUCUGCUUUUGUUCUCAAUAUAAACAGUGACAAGGCCGCGAGGCACCAAGGGGUCAUCAUUCAAUCAUCAUUUGUCGCUAUACUAUACUCAUGCAUGCAUAAUGGCAUCGCAAGCAAAUUCUACCGACAGUUUUAAAAUUAUGCGUGCAUCAUAGUAACUGUCGGUGGUGUGGUUGAUCAAAUUAGAACAUCCAAAUUCAACAAUAAUUGGAGUCCAGUCCUUCUCUGUUUCCACUUUCCACUAAAUAUCCAUUGACGCUUAAGCUAGAGAUUUCCUAUUGGAAACUCCAUUACAUUCAUUUUUACGAUUUCAUGAAACUCGGGAUCCCUUUUUUUUUUUUUGGCCAACUCGGAAUUUUACAGCAAUAUUUUUGUCAUCAAAAUGAGGCAUCCAUCCAAGUAGUACGUUUAAUAAAACCAGGCUCAAUCAUACACCAUUAGAAAGGGGAUGUAACGAUGAAUCGAGUCUUGCACAAGAGGAACAUUUGAUUAGGACAAAAAAGUGCAGACUUUAGAAGAUGCUGACACUUCUUGAAUCUGAUGAUAAACUUCCAACCUAAUUCUGGCUCUAAUUUUUUCCUCUGAAGUAGAAACAGAAACAUUUUGAUCAUGGCUCUCAGAAAAUGGAUUUACUUUUCUUCAUGGCCAGUUUCUUUGAGACCUAUGGGUCUGCUGUGCCUGUGAUCUCAUGGAUCACAUAUUUUAUUCGGUCCGAUGAUAAGCACGGGUGUGUCAGUGUCCUCCAGACUAGAGUAAUACCAAGACAAGAUAUUGAGUUACCCUGCAGGGAUGUUCAUGUUCUUCGAAAUCCAAUAAAUUAAUCUUCUGCUCAUUCCCUUAAAAAAAGAAAGGCUUCCCCCCAGGAUAUUCAGGCUCGAUUGAGUUAGAUUGCCCACCCCUUUGUGCGGGUAAAGAAAGAAAUCCAGCUUUUAAUACUCCAACAAUAAACCAUGGAGCCCGCCGGAAUUUCAAGAAAGCAGAUUUCCGUUGUCCAUCCUGAAUAAUGGUGGUGGCGACAAUUGAAAGUCAUUGGCUUCUUAGAGCUUCCACAUGUCAGGUAGUUAAUUGUACCCCACGUGGGGACACCGUAGAGUCCGUACCAUCCAUCUCUUUCGGGAAUGAAGGUGGACAUCGUUUUCUGGGGAAGGGCACGCACGUUCUUCCAUGUGAGUUUUGUUCGCCUCCCUCUCCUUCUAAUCUUGUUUCUAUCCCACGUAGGACGGUAGGGAGCUUAGGCGCCUCGGUUGAACGUGGCUUUUCUCAUUUUGUCAAAUCGCAACUUGGAUCAGUGUGGAUACUCCUAGUUUCUUCUCUAAUUUGGUGGGAUGAGGAUUCAGGAGGAGUUUGAACUGUUGCUUCAUCUAGUCUUAAGUUUAUUCGCCACCUUGACUGUGAAUCUCUGUUAAGGUUGCACUUGAUAUUAUCUCCAAUUAACGUUUACUUUUGACGUGUUUAGAUUCCGAAAGCAUUCUCCAAUUAACGUUUGCAAACAUACUAAGCAAGCUUGAGCGUGGACUAGACUCUUUUCCUGUAGUCUUACUUUAAUGGAAAAUGAUUAGGCCACAGCCUCGGCAUUUACUAUAUAUGGAAGGAAAUCAACAUGUUCAAUUUCAACACAGAGAGAAUUCAUGCAUAUAUAUAUAUAUAUAUAUAUAUAUAUGUUCGUGGAUAUACUCCAGCCACAUAUACCAUCCUUUAUAGCCAUUGAAAUACAGAGAGAGAAUUCAUGCAUGUUUACAUGGUAAUGCUGCUGCUCAAUGAUUAAGUGCAACUACAAGCACAGCUUGCUCAUCCACAUCUGCGAAGCUGAGUGGACACACUCAUCUUCUUGAUUAUCAUUAUUGUAGCAGCACAUUUUCUUGCUCCUGACAAAUCCCAGCAUAUGUAUGAGAUUCAUAUGACGCUCUACCGUGCCUGAUAAGUGCCACCAGUCCCAUUUUAGCGAGGACAAUUAGUUUAGAUUGACAUGCGAUAAUUUUUCGGGAAAUCAAACAAUAUUGUUAAAUACUGUUUUGGAGGCGUUAAAAGUACUUGGUAAUAGUCUUGUAUGUCAAUUGAGUUAGCAGCCAAUCAAUAAACCACGAAUGUAAUGGUCUUUGCCUGCUUCUUAUACCAUGCAACAUGGUUCGUAAUAUUGGCCGAUAUCGAUACGUAUCGGUCGAGUCGUAACCGGAACGAAACAGAUCGGUACGAUACGGAUUCCCAAAUCGCGGAUAUGGUAAUAUCUGCGACGACUUACUCUGACCCGAUCGAUAUUGGCUGAUUCGAAUCCGUGAUACAUAAUAUCGGUCGAUAUAUCCGAAUUAACCGAUAUAUCCGAAUCAAUUCGGAGUCGAUUCAGAUAUUUUUUAAAAUUGUGCCUUUUUGAUAUUUUGUAAUUUUAGUAAUUCUUUCAAAAUUUUUGAAAACUAUUAUGUGCUAUAAUAUGCAUAUCACUCGAUAUUUAAUCGAUAUGCGGCGACGAAUGUGAAACAAUCGAGACCGCGAUGUAACUGCGACCCGUGAUGGUGAACCAUGCAUGGGCUUCCAGAUAUGUCGGACAAAGGGAAAUGUGAGAAGUCAAAACCAUUGAACAAAGAUGAUGGAUACAAUAUUGGUUAUGUGCAAAAUGUAAGUGGCACUGUGGAAGAACUCUUAGUUGCUUCCUCUAAUCAGGGGCAAGUGUGUGAGUGUGACAGAAUGCUCACAUUAUGCUGCAAACAAUUGUUGCCGACAACUUUGAAGGUAGAAAGAAGGGUCUCAAAGCUAAAUGUAAGAUCUUACACCAUUUUUGAUUUAUCCCUACUAGUCCAUUAUGCGUAUUACGUGCACAGUUUGCCCAAGAGCUGACAGUGUAGUUGAUUUUAUGGUGUCCUGGUCAGUGGUGGAUGAAAAUUACUGUCACUAAUUUAAGACUCAAAACAGUCGCAAUUUUCAAUACUUUCGACCACUAAAAAAUUAUCUCCUCUCUUUCCAGAGGAAAAAGAAUAAGGGAAAGAAAGGAAAAAAGGAAUUUUUUUUUUUUAAAAAAAGAGUACUGGUUAAAGGGUGAAUUUGUAAAAAAUACUCAUAAAUUUUACGUUGACUUUUUAAUAGUCACCGUGAGUUUGAAUGAGAUAACUGGUAAUGACAUUCCAGUUUAAUCCACAUGUGAGUGAGGUUUAGUUUUUUAAACUAUAGAAACUUACGUGGUAAAGUACACGGAAGGAAGGAAGGAGAUUAAACUAAGCAAGCGGCCUGGAUCUCUUUAAACGGCCAGGUGUACCUAAAUAUCAACAACCUGUACCUGUGAUGUGAAGGAGCAUUUGACAAGUUCAGAAUUUCGGGCUUUGCAAAUUCAAUUCCAGUCAAAAGCCUAAUGCUGAUUUUGCCUCAUUAAGGUUUUAGAACCGGUCCGUUCCAACCAAGGCUGGAAAGUUGGGCUUUGGGCUACUUUGUGUUAGACUAUCAAAUUUGCCCCAUGGAUCCAUGACGAGAGUAUUCAUUGGGUCAGCCCACGGAUCUAGAUCGGCCAUUCAGUCUAUCCCACCAGUUCUCUGCCCAAGGCCUGAAACCUCACCUGUCUAUCAAGAAAAGGACACAUGGUACUGCCCUUAGCACCAACCCCUAAAGUUAGGGGGGCCACACUUUAGUCAGACAUGGACAACCGAAUAAACUGCCACCUCCGGUCUAGGAUUGCUACGGACCUUCUGUGCCACACUCUGUCCCACUUUUUAUUAUAACUACUAUUUCUCUUACAUAAAUAUCAUGUUUUAAUUUUUUUUUUGUUACCUAAAGAUCCAAUAACUAUUAAUUAAAUAAAAGAUUAAUACAACAGUUUCAAAAAAGCAAUAUAUAAUUAAAAAAUUAAAAAAAUUUUAUGAAUUUUUUGAUAUUUGGUCAGAUAUUUCAUUUUUUUUCAACAAUCGAAAUUACUGAAAAUCAUAUAACAAACCCGGAUAUUCCAUUUAUAGACCACCCUUUCGUACCAAUCGUUCAUCAACUACUGCCUGUUCUCAUUGGUACGAGGAGGAGAGGGGCGCUGCCCUGCCAUUAAUCAGCAUUAUCUCACUUUAACAGAGAGAGGCGUGAAAUUUAAAAAGCAAAAUUAGAUGCAGAAAAUUUGAAAUUAAGACCUCUAAUUUCUUGCGCCUCGAGAACGAGACCUCCUAAGCCAGCACUAACAGCAAAUUUACACCCCUUAUUAAUAUGGGGAUCUAACAUUUCAUUGGGAACACAGAUCACUUGUGGCUUCAAAUUAAACAAAUCUAAGUUAAUAUUCAAAUUUAACACAUCUAUCACCUAUUUACCGCUUAAGGCGCGCAUGAACCUAAGCAAAUCUUCUUGAGAGGUUAAUCCUGCAGUCACUACUUCCUAGCUUCUUCACAAAUUGUCUUGAUGUCUAUUUACAGAAGGGACGAUCGAUAUAAAACAGAUUUAGAAGCACGGAUGCUUCCAAUGGAGAUGCAAUUAAAUGGGCUUUUAACUAAGAUCAAUAUCGACCCGCUCAGGUUUUGCCCUUUCGGUUUGGUUGGAAACCAGCUCGAUUCCAAGCUGUCCUUUAUCACCAGCUCCAAAUGCAUACAGCUUACCAGAGUCUGUGAGGGCAAACGUGUGGGCGUUCCAAUAUAUGGAAUUGGUAAGGCUAAUCUGUACCACCCUCUCAUUCACCUGCUUCAGGGACGUCACGAUUUCUGGGCUUAGAACAUUAGUGUGCCUGUUUACCUGUAAAACAAGACAACAGUAAUGCACAUCAGCAAAUCACUUUAUAAAGAAAGAUGUCCAUGUAGGAAGGAACGAGCCCGCUCUUGAAUAUAGAGACUUCUGAGGAAUGGAUGUUUUCACUUUGCGUUUCGCAAUGGCAAACAGCUGAGCUUAACCCUUCUAAUUUUAGCACCAUCAUGUUUCAGGUGUAUUUCAGUUUCUUGUAGGCUCCUUACUCGGUUCUAACCUGACACCCUAUCUGAUUUCCUCAAGCCGCGGGCGUUGAAUAAAGUAAAUAGAAGAAAUAAAGAUGGGAAUUUCAUUCAUUUUGAUGCUGUGUGUGUAUCUGCUAACCUAUCAUGACUGGCCUCUAUCCUGUGAAAGUUGAUAUUAUGGCUACUAACAAAUGAACCAGAUCAGGGUGACAAGGACUAUCUCGAAAGAAUAUCAAAUUGAAAAUUCAUAAACAUCUGUAGAAAGUGAAAAUGAAUAUAAUAGCAAACAGAUCUUGCAAGGUACACAUAUAACAUUCUAUACUAAACAGAACUAAACAAUUCAGCUGGAUUCUGAAGAUAAAGAAGACAACUUGACCAAGAUAAAAUAGACAGGAAAAGAGAAGAUCAAACCUGUCCGUCAACAGCACCAGUAUUAUGUCCCAAACUAGAUGAUUCCCCACAGCCAAAAGAAUAUACAUCACCCGCAUCAGAAACUACAAAAGUUGUAUAGUCCCCUGUAGCAACAUUAACCGCUUUGACAUUGCUUAGUGCUUCAACCACCUUAGGAAUCGAUUCACAAUCUUCGUUCCCAUGACCUAAGCAACCAUAACGUCCCCAACCCCACGUGCAAACUCUCCCAUCUUUCCCAACAACUGCAGCAUGCCAUGCUCCUGCUGCCACGACUACUGGUUGAAGAUUCAAAUUCUGAAACUGUUCAAUCAACCUUGGAUACUUUUCAUCAGUUCUUGUACCGUGUCCAAGCUUUCCGCCCAAUCCACAACCAACAGAGUAUACUGACCUGAUGAGUCACCAAAAAGAGCAACAUAUAAGAAUCAUUUACCUAUAAAAAAUUUGUUGCCAAGUAAUAUUGGAGCGCGAUGGAACUAUGAGCGGCAAACCAUGGUAAUCUAGACAGAGACUCUGAAAUCAUUUUGAAGUAAUGCAGGUGAUUAGGAGAGACAACUUGACUAGAAAAAUAGAGAUUAGAAGCUGAGAUAAUAUUGAAGAUGAGAUUUUGUGGUUAAUACAGAACUCAAGAUAGUUUGUAGUUCAUGCAAUUGAAUUCUGUUGCUUGAACAAUACCUCACCAAAGCAACAAAUAAAGAUGCAACAGAACCACAGGCAAUAUCCUACCAAUAACUGUCAUUCUGCAUAUCAUAAUUAUUUUCAAGUAACAAUGGGUUUGUUUGGAUAGAGUGUUAUUUGAAAUAACAUUGUAACACUAUUUGUGAUGUGAUGUAUGUCAGAUAAAAAGGUGAUUAAGAAUAUAAAAAAGUGGGUUGGAAAAUGUAUUUAUGAUGCAAGCAAAAUAUUAUUUGGAAAAAUUUGCUAACCAACCAAAUGAGAAAGAAUAUUUUUCUUGAAAGUUCAACCAAAACCCAUCCAUGAAGAUACAAGUUUAAUCUCACUACUCUAAUAAAUUAAAGGGACUCACAUGCCAGUAGGCUGGCAAGCCAAAGCAAGAAGGUAGCAGUAUCCAGCUGCAAUUUGCACAACAGGAAUGUUCUCAAGUGCCCCUAGUAAUGGGCGAGGUUCUAGGUCAUUUGGCUCUGUUUGGUGACCAAGUUUUGUUUCAUUCCCCCAAGAAAAAGUAUAAACUCUUCCUUCUCUAGACAACACAGCUGUGAAGAAAUUUCCAAUUGCAGCCUGCACAACAAAGACGUCUUUCAAUGAUUCCACAAGUUGCGGAGUAGUUACAAGUCUACUUCCUUGAGCCCCAUAUUCAGCAUCUCCAAAGGAAUCCUUUCCAAAGGCAUACACCCGACCAGCAUCACUAAUCAACAUUGUCCGGCCAGCCCCAGCAGCUGCUUGAAUAAUUCGAACUCCUUCCAAGGAUCUGCAACAUAAUUAAAGUUUCACCGAAACUUUACACUAAAAAAUUCUGCAUCUAGACUCCAGCUUUUAAAGCAGCAUAUGACAAAAUCAACAUAUAAUAACAACCUAAUUGGGCGAGGCCGCCAGUCUUCCUCAGUGGUGCCCUGUCCAAGCUGUCCAGAGCUAUUAGAACCAAAUGAGUAGACAACUCCUUUUGAUGUUACAGCAAUGCUGUGACCAGGACCUGCUAUGGCCUGUGACUUCUCCCUCCUGGAACAGACUUCACCAGCAAGCAGAUAUCUGAGGACCAGUUUCCAGGAGCCCCCACAUCUUUGCUUCAAGUCUUGACGUUCUUCAUCUGUCAUUGGCUUAAAUAUGGCUCUCUUUUGGCACAUAUCAAGCGCUGCAAGCUCUGCCAUAGAGAGCUCAUAAUCAGGGGCAAAAUGUGCAGGCUGCCUGAAGAAAGAACAGGUUGCCUGCAAAACCAGCCCAAAAAUUCACAAUACAAUCAGCAGCAUCAUCAAUUCAACAAAGAUAAUUACCAUUGGAAUCCAAAUAAAAAAGAUACACUUGCCUCUAGCUUUGCAAGAUCUUGGGGAUCCAAAUUGCAUCCAGUAAGGACAUGAAGAACAAUCGAGGGAUUUGCAGACAAUGGGAAUUCUCCAGGACUGACGUUGCCAU